Molecule: ribosomal RNA, 98 nt
Filed under: Acanthosepion pharaonis
Lineage: Eukaryota; Metazoa; Mollusca; Cephalopoda; Sepiida; Sepiidae
Source: RNAcentral
GAUGAAACUCAGGUUCCCAUAUGAUCACCGAAGUUAAGCAACGUCGAGCAAGGCCAGUACCUAGAUGGGUAACCGUUUGGGAAUAUCAGGUGCUGUAA